RNAcentral lists this ribosomal RNA (193 nucleotides) under uncultured bacterium. RNAcentral describes it as "partial 16S ribosomal RNA". It matches the Rfam family "Bacterial small subunit ribosomal RNA", at positions 339 to 525 of the family's 1533-position model. The record is from RNAcentral.
CUACGGGAGGCAGCAGUGGGGAAUUUUGGACAAUGGGGGCAACCCUGAUCCAGCAAUGCCGCGUGAGUGAAGAAGGCCUUCGGGUUGUAAAGCUCUUUUGUCAGGGAAGAAACAGCAGCUCUAACACAGUCUGCGAAUGACGGUACCUGAAGAAUAAGCACCGGCUAACUACGUGCCAGCAGCCGCGGUAAUA